UACGUAGGGGGCAAGCGUUGUCCGGAAUCAUUGGGCGUAAAGAGCGUGUAGGCGGCCUGAUAAGUCGGUUGUGAAAGUCAAGGGCUCAACCCUUGAAUGCCGACCGAUACUGUCAGGCUAGAGUCCGGAAGAGGCGAGUGGAAUUCCUGGUGUAGCGGUGAAAUGCGCAGAUAUCAGGAGGAACACCUAUGGCGAAGGCAGCUCGCUGGGACGGUACUGACGCUGAGACGCGAAAGCGUGGGGAGCGAACAGG
This 253-nucleotide ribosomal RNA is filed under the name uncultured bacterium. Its description in RNAcentral is "partial 16S ribosomal RNA". It matches the Rfam family "Bacterial small subunit ribosomal RNA", at positions 524 to 776 of the family's 1533-position model. The record is from RNAcentral. RNAcentral also lists the same sequence under 1 other name.